This 85-nucleotide transfer RNA is filed under the name Candidatus Zixiibacteriota bacterium. RNAcentral describes it as "candidate division Zixibacteria bacterium tRNA-Leu". It matches the Rfam family "tRNA". Rfam says of the family: Transfer RNA (tRNA) molecules are approximately 80 nucleotides in length. Lineage: Bacteria; Pseudomonadati; Candidatus Zixiibacteriota. The record is from RNAcentral.
GCGAAAGUGGCGGAACUGGCAGACGCGCCGGCCUUAGGAGCCGGUGCCGCAAGGCGUGGGGGUUCAAAUCCCCCCUUUCGCACCC